This is an RNA transcript of Asparagus officinalis (garden asparagus), 1041 nucleotides long. RefSeq lists it as uncharacterized. The record is from RefSeq and is a predicted model, not a curated record. The transcript has 3 exons. Lineage: Eukaryota; Viridiplantae; Streptophyta; Magnoliopsida; Asparagales; Asparagaceae.
UCCUCCCUCCCUCCCACCCUCCAGCUGUCCCCAAGCCUACCACCCUCGACAUCAGAACUAGUCACUAUUGGAAACAAAAAUUCUACAAAUAUAAAGCAUAGGAGACCCAAAAAAAAAAAAAAAAAAAAAAAUCCGACUUUCUUCUUCCUCUUCCUCCAAUCUCUGAACCAUGGAUGGCUACAGCAGAUCAAGAUCCUCCAGUGAUGGCAGGAACAUGCAGAUUGAAGUCUAUGGCUCCACCAACAGGAGAGGAGGAGGCCCAGCCCCUUCUUAUGAUUUCAGGAGCUAUAGCACUUCUUAUGCUUCUUCCUCCUCCUCUGUUUACAACAACAACAACUAUGGGAUGCAACCCCCAAGAGAGUUAAAGAUGAAGAAAGCAAAGAGCACUUCUAGUGGCUGGAAUCUUAACGACCCAGAGCUCCAGAGGAAGAAGAGGGUUGCUAGCUACAAGGUUUAUUCUGUUGAGGGAAAGGUCAAGGGGUCUUUUAAGAAGAGCUUCAGGUGGCUUAAGGAUAGAUACACCCAGGUUGUCUAUGGAUGGUGGUGAUUAAAGAUUUGGUCUUUCUGAUUUGAUCUUGACUUUGGCUGUGAGCGAGUAAAGUUAAGCUAUCAGAAUGUUGCUUUAUUUGGAAAUGCUGAAGCUACUACAGUCUACAGCGCUAUGCGCUGUGGUCUAUCGAGCUAUUUGUUGUCAUGGUAACUCCACAAUGUGAUGAAUUGAAAGGCUAUUUUCGGAAUAUACUUAUUUGCGAGAAUACUUGUGUAUUUACGAUGGACUUGUGCUUACAGGCUGUGAAUCAUGUAUUUUAUCAAACUCUAGACCCGUUCUAAGCUGAUCAUAUUACAUGUGUACUGGACAUUGUUGGAAUAUAAUUGUGAUAAAUCGUUCCUGCACGCUGCAGAAUGCUUCCUUGCCUCUUUUUUUCAUCCUUUAGCAGUUCUUUUUUGCAUUGUCAUGAAACAGCUAGAUUUCUGAUGCGUACUUUUGAUGACAUAAACGGAGAACUUCAGGAUAUGGUAUAUCUGUAUUUGAGUGUUCUU